Molecule: transfer RNA, 68 nt
Filed under: Pipistrellus abramus
Lineage: Eukaryota; Metazoa; Chordata; Mammalia; Chiroptera; Vespertilionidae
Description: tRNA-Arg
Rfam family: tRNA
About the family: Transfer RNA (tRNA) molecules are approximately 80 nucleotides in length. Their secondary structure includes four short double-helical elements and three loops (D, anti-codon, and T loops).
Source: RNAcentral
UGAUAAUUAGUUUAAUUUAAAACAAAUGAUUUCGACUCAUUAAAAUAUGAUUUAUCUCAUAAUUAUCA